CAGCCGCCGCGGGAAUACGAAGGUCCCGAGCGUUGUUCGGAAUCACUGGGCGUAAAGGGAGCGUAGGCGGCGUGGUAAGCCAGAUGUGAAAUCCCGGGGCUCAACCCCGGAACUGCAUCCGAUACUGCCAUGCUAGAGGAUUGGAGAGGUAGCUGGAAUUCUUGGUGUAGCAGUGAAAUGCGUGGAGAUCAAGAGGAACACUCGUGGCGAAAGCGAGCUACUGGACAAUAACUGACGCUGAGGCUCGAAGGCCAGGGUAGCGAAAGGGAUUAGAUACCCCAGUAGUCCCUGUCUCUUAUAC
Molecule: ribosomal RNA, 301 nt
Filed under: uncultured bacterium
Lineage: Bacteria
Description: partial 16S ribosomal RNA
Rfam family: Bacterial small subunit ribosomal RNA
Source: RNAcentral